Molecule: ribosomal RNA, 706 nt
Filed under: uncultured bacterium
Lineage: Bacteria
Description: bacterial SSU rRNA
Rfam family: Bacterial small subunit ribosomal RNA
Source: RNAcentral
AAUGAACGCUGGCGGCGUGCCUAACACAUGCAAGUCGAACGAGAAAGGGGCCUUCGGGUCCUGAGUAAAGUGGCGAACGGGUGAGUAACGCGUAGGAACCUACUCUUGAGUGGGGAAUAACCUGGCGAAAGCCGGGCUAAUACCGCAUGAUGUCACUGCCCUUGGGCGUGUGACCAAAGAUGGCGAACCUCGAGUGCUAUUGCUCAAGAAGGGGCCUGCGUCCCAUUAGCUUGUUGGUGGGGUAAUGGCCUACCAAGGCGACGAUGGGUAGCCGGGCUGAGAGGCUGUCCGGCCACACUGGAACUGAGACACGGUCCAGACUCCUACGGGAGGCAGCAGUGGGGAAUAUUGCGCAAUGGGGGAAACCCUGACGCAGCGACGCCGCGUGGGCGAUGAAGGCCUUCGGGUCGUAAAGCCCUGUCGAGUGGGACGAACGGCGUGAGCUCUAACAUAGCUCGCGUUUGACGGUACCACUGGAGGAAGCCCCGGCCAACUCCGUGCCAGCAGCCGCGGUAAUACGGAGGGGGCGAGCGUUAUUCGGAAUUAUUGGGCGUAAAGCGCGUGUAGGCGGCUUCGCAAGUCCUUAUGUGAAAGCCCUCGGCUCAACCGAGGAAUAGCAUGGGAAACUGCGUGGCUUGAGUCCGGGAGAGGAGAGCGGAAUUCCCAGUGUAGCGGUGAAAUGCGUAGAUAUUGGGAGGAACACCGG